Molecule: transfer RNA, 84 nt
Filed under: Verrucomicrobiota bacterium
Lineage: Bacteria; Pseudomonadati; Verrucomicrobiota
Also listed under: 4 other names
Description: Verrucomicrobia bacterium (freshwater metagenome) tRNA-Leu
Rfam family: tRNA
About the family: Transfer RNA (tRNA) molecules are approximately 80 nucleotides in length.
Source: RNAcentral
GCGCGAGUGGCGAAAUGGCAGACGCGCCAGACUUAGGAUCUGGUCCCGCAAGGGGUGGAGGUUCAAGUCCUCUCUCGCGCACCA